This 428-nucleotide ribosomal RNA is filed under the name uncultured Verrucomicrobiota bacterium. RNAcentral's name for it is "bacterial SSU rRNA". It matches the Rfam family "Bacterial small subunit ribosomal RNA", at positions 355 to 776 of the family's 1533-position model. Lineage: Bacteria; Pseudomonadati; Verrucomicrobiota. The record is from RNAcentral.
UCGAGAAUUUUUCUCAAUGGGCGAAAGCCUGAAGGAGCGACGCCGCGUGGAGGAUGAAGGUCUUCGGAUUGUAAACUCCUGUCAUUAGGGAACAAGUGCCGGCAUUUAACUGGUGUCGGCUUGAUAGUACCUGAAGAGGAAGAGACGGCUAACUCUGUGCCAGCAGCCGCGGUAAUACAGAGGUCUCAAGCGUUGUUCGGAUUCAUUGGGCGUAAAGGGUGCGUAGGCGGCGCCGUAAGUCAGGUGUGAAAUCCCGGGGCUCAACCCCGGAACGGCACUUGAUACUGCGGUGCUUGAGGACUGGAGAGGAGACUGGAAUUCCCGGUGUAGCAGUGAAAUGCGUAGAUAUCGGGAGGAAGGCCAGUGGCGAAGGCGGGUCUCUGGACAGUUCCUGACGCUGAGGCACGAAGGCCAGGGGAGCAAACGGG